UUGACCUCAAAUCAGGUAGGACUACCCGCUGAACUUAAGCAUAUCAAAA
Molecule: ribosomal RNA, 49 nt
Filed under: Gloeophyllum sp. SHH-2012
Lineage: Eukaryota; Fungi; Basidiomycota; Agaricomycetes; Gloeophyllales; Gloeophyllaceae
Also listed under: 2 other names
Description: partial 28S large subunit ribosomal RNA
Source: RNAcentral